UUAGCUGUAAAUUACAUAAAUAUAAUUGUGGUAACAUUUUAGAAGAGGUUCUAUGUUAAAGCAAUCCGUUUUCAACUAAAUUUCUCUCUUUUUUUUUUUUCUACAGUUGAUACUCUAGUAGCAAUUUUUUUGUCUGGCUGAGUUUUCUCCCAUGCUGCUUCCUUUUUCAUGAACACAUGGAGCAUAUCCAGUCUUACCUGCUUUUAUUUUUCUUCCCUAUUCCAAAAAUGAUAUAUGGCUUUAUGAUCCUUGCAUUUUCUGUCCUUUAACUUCCAGCAGUACAUACUGCCAGGAGCUACUCCAGGAAUUAAAUUUUCUUCCUGUAGAAACUCAGUCUCUCCCCUGAACUUUAUAUAUAGUAUAACUUACACCUUAUUGAAGCCAAAUUGAAGCAUGUUAUUUUAUUAUCUUGGCCUAGAAUGUAUGUUGAGUUGUGGGAGAGCUAGUGUUCAUUCCAGGUUCAGGAGCCCAAACUGCACAAGAAGAUGUCCCAUGUAUAUAUGCAAAUAUAAUCAUGUAUAGCACGAACAUUGGAAAAUGAGGAAGGCAGGGAAUAGGUGUAGCACUAAUGUUACCAAGGACAGGUUACCACAUAAUAAAUACAAGCUUGCACACAACAUAUGUGGAAGACCUUUUGAGGGAUUCUGACUAACUGAUCUGGAAUAAAAUGUGAGGAUUGUGAUUUUUCUUUUAUUUUAUCCCUUCCAUUACGCAAUUCUAAUUUGCAACUAGAUUUGAAAAAUCAUUGUUUAGACCUAUAUAGGAGUAUGAAGUUUUCAAUGUAUCUUAAUUCUUUCCAACUUAUUUCCCUAGGGUUUCAAAGGACUGUGGCUAUUGCGGACUCAAAUUACAACUGGUUUUAUGGUCCAGAAAGCCAAUUAGUGUUCCUUGAUAAAUUUGUCAUGCGUAACGGCAGUGGUAACUGGCUAGCUGACCAAAUCAGAAGGAACCGUGUGGUGGAAGGUCCAGGAACACCAUCCAAAGGGCAGCGCUGGUGCACUCUGCACACGGAAUUUCUCUGGUAUGAUGCCAGCUUGAAAUCGGUUCCUCCUCCAGACUUUGGCACCCCUACACUGCAUUAUUUUGAAGACUGGGGUGUCGUGACUUAUGGAAGUGCACUACCUGCAGAAAUCAAUAGAUCUUUCCUUUCCUUCAAGUCUGGAAAACUGGGGGGACGUGCAAUAUAUGAUAUUGUCCACAGAAACAAAUACAAAGAUUGGAUCAAAGGAUGGAGAAAUUUUAAUGCAGGGCAUGAACAUCCUGAUCAAAACUCAUUUACUUUUGCUCCCAAUGGUGUGCCUUUCAUUACUGAGGCUCUGUAUGGGCCAAAGUACACCUUCUUCAACAAUGUUUUGAUGUUUUCCCCAGCUGUGUCAAAGAGCUGCUUUUCUCCCUGGGAGGGUCAGGUCACAGAAGACUGCUCAUCAAAAUGGUCUAAGUACAAGCAUGACCUGGCAGCUAGUUGUCAGGGGAGGGUGGUUGCAGCAGAGGAGAAAAAUGGGGUGGUUUUUAUCCGAGGAGAAGGUGUGGGAGCUUAUAACCCCCAGCUCAACCUGAAGAAUGUUCAGAGGAAUCUCAUCCUCCUACAUCCACAGCUGCUUCUCCUUGUAGACCAAAUACACCUGGGAGAGGAGAGUCCCCUGGAGACAGCAGCGAGCUUCUUCCACAAUGUGGAUGUUCCUUUUGAGGAGACUGUGGUAGACGGUGUCCAUGGGGCUUUCAUCAGGCAGAGAGAUGGUCUCUAUAAAAUGUACUGGAUGGACGAUACUGGCUACAGUGAGAAAGCAACCUUUGCCUCAGUGACAUAUCCUCGGGGCUAUCCCUACAACGGGACAAACUAUGUGAAUGUCACCAUGCACCUCCGAAGUCCCAUCACCAGGGCAGCUUACCUCUUCAUAGGGCCAUCUAUAGAUGUUCAGAGCUUCACCGUCCAUGGAGACUCUCAGCAACUGGAUGUGUUCGUAGCCACCAGCAAACAUGCCUACGCCACGUACCUGUGGACAGGUGAGGCCACAGGACAGUCUGCCUUUGCACAGGUCAUUGCUGAUCGUCACAAAAUUCUGUUUGACCGGAAUUCAGCCAUCAAGAGCAGCAUUGUCCCUGAGGUGAAGGACUAUGCUGCUAUUGUGGAACAGAACUUGCAGCAUUUUAAACCAGUGUUUCAGCUGCUGGAGAAGCAGAUACUGUCCCGAGUCCGGAACACAGCUAGCUUUAGGAAGACUGCUGAGCGCCUGCUGAGAUUUUCAGAUAAGAGACAGACUGAGGAGGCCAUUGACAGAAUUUUUGCCAUAUCACAGCAACAGCAGCAGCAAAGCAAGUCAAAGAAAAACCGAAGGGCAGGCAAACGCUAUAAAUUUGUGGAUGCUGUCCCUGAUAUUUUUGCACAGAUUGAAGUCAAUGAGAAAAAGAUUAGACAGAAAGCUCAGAUUUUGGCACAGAAAGAACUACCCAUAGAUGAAGAUGAAGAAAUGAAAGACCUUUUAGAUUUUGCAGAUGUAACAUACGAGAAACAUAAAAAUGGGGGCUUGAUUGAAGGCCGGUUUGGACAGGCACGGAUGGUGACAACUAUUCACAGCAGGGCCCCAUCACUGUCUGCUUCCUAUACCAGGUUGUUCCUGAUUCUGAACAUUGCUAUUUUCUUUGUCAUGUUGGCAAUGCAACUGACUUAUUUCCAGAAGGCCCAGAGCCUACAUGGCCAAAGAUGUCUUUAUGCAGUUCUUCUAAUAGAUAGCUGUAUUUUAUUAUGGUUGUACUCUUCUUGUUCCCAAUCACAGUGUUAGCACUGAAGCUAUAAAUUACCUGGUCAUUUUGUGAUCACAAGAGUCUAUGCAAAAAAAAAAUUUCUUUACCCCAGAUUAUCAGAUUUUUUUCCCUCGGAUUCAUUUUAACAAACUAAGGGAAGAUAUUUUGACACAAGAAAGCAGGAACAUGGAGAAAUCGGAGCAGGAAAAGAAUUUAUCAAAGCAAUAGAAAUAGCUUGGUGGUCCUAUGGUGUUUUUGGAAGUAUUUGGCAUUGCUAAUUGAGCAGUCCAUAUAGUACUACUUUUAGAAGAAACAAAAAGUCUGUUUUUUAAAGUAAUGUUUUUUCUUAUGAGAAAAAGGUUUAGAUAGAAUUGGGUUUUAUUAAUAUUAAUUUAAUGCUAUUAGCAAUUUCCAUAUACUAUAUUAUGGAAAAGACUGAAGAAUACAAUUCUGAGAAAUAUAAAAAAAAUUUUAAUGGUAUAGUCAUGUUGAAAGAUAAAUGUUGCUAAGUCCUGGUAUGAUGGUGUCAGCUUCCUUGGGGACGUACUUCUUGAGUUAUGUAACUAACAGGAUCUUUUACUACAGAUCUGGAUGGCUAUUCAGAUAACAUAGCAAAAAAUGAUAGCAGAAGAUCAUUAAAAACUUAAAAUAUAUUUUAUUAGAAAACAUUUAUCUAUGAAUGAAUAUUUCCUUGAUGCUGAUCUCUGCACACAUAUACUUGGUUACUUGUAUGCAUUCAUUGGUUGUUCAAUAAGUGAGAUGAUUACAGAUAACUUAAUACUGUAUUUUCCUUAUAUGGAAAACCGUUGUAGACCCAAUAACAACUAAACCUUUCAAAAUAAAAUAUUUUCUAUUAUGAAUGUUGAUUUUCAUACCAAAGAAGAUGGAGAAUCUAAAAUUUGGAUAUGAUUCUUAUGUUUUUUUAAUAGAAAACCUUCUUCAAGUUUAUUUUCCUAAAUAAACAUCAUAAUUGUG
RNAcentral lists this small RNA (3717 nucleotides) under Pongo abelii (Sumatran orangutan). Its description in RNAcentral is "retained intron". The record is from RNAcentral. Lineage: Eukaryota; Metazoa; Chordata; Mammalia; Primates; Hominidae.